CUGUCAGGGGGUGAAGAAUCCAGGAGAUUGGCUGCUGGGGCUCCGGGAGGGAGAUAAGCAGCAGCUGUGGAGACCAGAAGGGAGGAGGGGGAAGAAGAGAGAGAAGCUGCUAGGCUGCAACACUGCCAGAUUGGGCUGCAAAGUCUGGAAAAGUGCGACAUCCAAGGCACACAGCUGGGAAGCAUCAGGCUUUGGAGGGAGGCUUCUGUCGCUCCCACACCAGCGCUUUGCAGUCUGCUUCUGCUCCCAAGGUCACCAUGCCCAGAGUCUUUGGCCCUUUCCCACAACUUAUGAACAAGCAGGUUUGUACCUGGCUCUUCUGCUCAUGUGUUCCUGGGGAUUCCAAUCUUGCCAUAUCUUCCAGACAGAGAAUUCCUGGAGUCUUGAUGCUGAAGCAUGUUAUGUGGGGUUGCAGGCCUUUCUAAGGUGGGGCAAGUCUGAUAGUAGACAUUGACAUAGGCACCACUGACCAGAGUCAGAGCCAAAUCUCUCUCUGCUGCUCCAACCUCACCCUUCCCAGCAGAGAUGCUCUGGGAACAAAGGCAGGAAUAAUCAUUUAUGGAGCUCAUAGCUCCUUCAGCCCAGCCUCAGCAGCUUCUCCCAUGCUGGAGUGGCUGAAAGGGAAUAGACAGCAGUGCUGGGGGUUGGUUUAGCAAGCCGACUUGUAAAGAAACAGUUCUUGUGGUGCUCUCUAAUGAGUGCUUUUAUUUCUGAUAGCUGAAUGGAGUGACAGCUUCAAAAAAUGACCUGAAGUAUCAGUGGGCUGGUGUGUCAACAAUGAACCAGAAAAGGUGUGAGGGUCUGAUGUACUGGGGAAGGUCAGGUCUGGAAAGGUAACAACACAAGGUUGUUAGGGGAUAUGUCUCUUUCCUCCUUGCUGACAGGGGGGCUAGAAAGUGAACCUGUGAUGGAAGGAGAGCAGGUGCCUGUCCAGUAUGACUUGAAUAUCCAUUUGAUAUACUCCAGGCCUGUAAUGCUGCUCCUCCUGCUGCCAGGUCUUCGGUGCAAGGUUCUUCUUUUUUGCCUCCUAUAGAAUUUUUACAUCUCCGCUCCCCUCAAGUUCCCUUGUUCUUAUUGAACCCAGCUAAACAACAGGUCAUCUCCUUUACUGAACUCCAUGUCUUCCAACAGUAUGAUUGAUCUGCAUCCUAUAGUGCUGAACCCUGGGGCCUCUACACCUCCCUCCAGACUGGCAAUCACAUCAAUAAGAUGAGGCACACCACCUUCUUAAGGUGACAAUUGUAAGAAAAUUGUUGGGGUUUUGAUACACAAAAGAUGCACUUUCCAAAGAAUGCAGAGCAGAGGCACAGUCUACAUGGAGAAGCAAAUGAGAAGAUUUCCCAUUGGAGAUUGGGCUCAGUGCAGGAAACCCAUCAGACAGAAAUGUGUAAAUGCUUGCUGCCCUCUGCUGGGCCAUCAAGGAAUGCACCUUUGGUGUCACCUCUGACCUCUCGUGUUGAAAUAUCUCUUCUUAAGAUAUGCUGGGUCAAUGGAACCUGCAGAUUAUCAUUGAAAAACAUCUCUGGAAAAAUAUUAUCAGGAGAGACUUGAAUAAAGAGAGGAUAGCUGACUGUACUGAGGAGAAUAAUACUGUUCCAGGCACAAUGAAUGGCUUGGGAGAAGAAAGGCACAUGAGCAAAAAAAGGUACCCAGACAUGGGAGAGGAGCAAGGAGAGGUAGAAGUAUAGGUGGAAGAUGGUGAGCAACUUUGUGGGGCUCUGAGGACAAGGACUAGGAGCUUGAUCUAGAAAAACAGUGGAAGAGCAUGGAAGGCAGUGAAGGUACCUUUAAAAAGUACUGAUGAAGUCAGAUCAGUGAGAGAAGAUAGUGGAUUGUGCCGAAACAUUUUAAACAUUAGAAGGGUGGGAGCUGUGAGGCAGGGAGUUGUGGUAUAGUACUUGUGAGAGCAGGUGGUUUGUAGCAAAAACAAAGAGGAAGGAUAAGCUAAGAUCACAUGUAGUCCCUGUUCUUGAAGGCUCAGGUCAAGCGUAGUGCCUGUUCUUAACCUGGCAGGGGAAAUACCAUGUAUCUGUGUCCAUGAAGGCAGUUUUCCUAAAGCGCACCCAGGGAGAAUUGCUUUUCUGGCGUGGUUCAGUAUCUGCUGAGGUGUAGCAACUUUAAGCCCACUUUAUGGAAAUGGGAGUCUCCUCCCUAGCUUGCUCUGAAGGCCUUAUGGCUAAGGGCCAGCAAAAAUCAGGGGCAUUUGACCCCCAAGCCUCUAGGCUUGGGCUUGCAAGUAGGAUGCCUGCCAAAGGAUUUGGAAACAUCUGAAGCCCCAGGUGU
Long non-coding RNA from Alligator sinensis (Chinese alligator), 2283 nucleotides. RefSeq lists it as uncharacterized. The transcript has 4 exons. The record is from RefSeq and is a predicted model, not a curated record. Lineage: Eukaryota; Metazoa; Chordata; Crocodylia; Alligatoridae.